UGAGACACGGCCCAGACUCCUACGGGAGGCAGCAGUAGGGAAUCUUCCGCAAUGGACGAAAGUCUGACGGAGCAACGCCGCGUGAGUGAUGAAGGUUUUCGGAUCGUAAAGCUCUGUUGUUAGGGAAGAACAAGUACCGUUCGAAUAGGGCGGUACCUUGACGGUACCUAACCAGAAAGCCACGGCUAACUACGUGCCAGCAGCCGCGGUAAUACGUAGGUGGCAAGCGUUGUCCGGAAUUAUUGGGCGUAAAGGGCUCGCAGGCGGUUCCUUAAGUCUGAUGUGAAAGCCCCCGGCUCAACCGGGGAGGGUCAUUGGAAACUGGGGAACUUGAGUGCAGAAGAGGAGAGUGGAAUUCCACGUGUAGCGGUGAAAUGCGUAGAGAUGUGGAGGAACACCAGUGGCGAAGGCGACUCUCUGGUCUGUAACUGACGCUGAGGAGCGAAAGCGUGGGGAGCGAACAGGAUUAGAUACCCUGGUAGUCCACGCCGUAAACGAUGAGUGCUAAGUGUUAGGGGGUUUCCGCCCCUUAGUGCUGCAGCUAACGCAUUAAGCACUCCGCCUGGGGAGUACGGUCGCAAGACUGAAACUCAAAGGAAUUGACGGGGGCCCGCACAAGCGGUGGAGCAUGUGGUUUAAUUCGAAGCAACGCGAAGAACCUUACCAGGUCUUGACAUCCUCUGACAAUCCUAGAGAUAGGACGUCCCCUUCGGGGGCAGAGUGACAGGUGGUGCAUGGUUGUCGUCAGCUCGUGUCGUGAGAUGUUGGGUUAAGUCCCGCAACGAGCGCAACCCUUGAUCUUAGUUGCCAGCAUUCAGUUGGGCACUCUAAGGUGACUGCCGGUGACAAACCGGAGGAAGGUGGGGAUGACGUCAAAUCAU
Molecule: ribosomal RNA, 881 nt
Filed under: Bacillus subtilis
Lineage: Bacteria; Bacillati; Bacillota; Bacilli; Caryophanales; Bacillaceae
Description: bacterial SSU rRNA
Rfam family: Bacterial small subunit ribosomal RNA
Source: RNAcentral